AUUUUGAUUUUAAAUUUUAAAUUUGAAUUCAAAAUUUAAAUUUGAAUUUAAGAUUUGAUUCCAAUUAUAAAUUUGAAUUUAACUUUGAAUUCAAAUUCGCAUUACGGCUGAGACUUAAUUGUAAUGAAAUCAAUGGGUUAAUUUCAUAAAGGUCCUUGCAAACAAAGUGAUUUGCAGAUAUAUUCCUGCAAAGUUCAACUUUCAUAAGUUAUUUCUGCAAAAGUCCUAAUGUAUUCAGAUAUGUCUCUAUAGUUAGAACCCGUUAGAGAACUGUUUAUUUUUUAAUAAUAGACUCGUGAAAUGACAUUUUUAUCCUCAUAAAUAUAUCCCUCCAAAAUAAUUUUGUCCUCUUCCUCUUUCUCUUUCUUUUCAAGCUGCAGGAGCGGGUGGCGGCGGCGGCGGCGGCGUCGCGGAGCUUGGAAUUGCGACCGACGAGGACAAGGCUGAGGCACGCAACGGCGAAGCGGAAGGCGAAGGUGCGGCCGA
RNAcentral lists this long non-coding RNA (486 nucleotides) under Ananas comosus (pineapple). RNAcentral's name for it is "long non-coding RNA (ACOM_LNC005645)". Lineage: Eukaryota; Viridiplantae; Streptophyta; Magnoliopsida; Poales; Bromeliaceae. The record is from RNAcentral.